UUACGCUGGCGGCGUGCAUAACACAUGCAAGUCGAACGAUGAAACUUAAAUGAAUUCUUCGGAAUGAUUUUAAUUGGAUUAGUGGCGAACGGGUGAGUAACGCGUGAGUAACCUGCCUUACACAAGGGGAUAGCCUCUGGAAACGGAGAAUAAUACCCUAUGAAACUAUCUUAUCGCAUGAAAAGAUAGUCAAAGUGUUUUAGCGGUGUAAGAUGGACUUGCGUCUGAUUAGCUAGUUGGUGAGAUAACAGCCCACCAAGGCAACGAUCAGUAGCCGGCUUGAGAGAGUGUACGGCCACAUUGGGACUGAGACACGGCCCAGACUCCUACGGGAGGCAGCAGUGGGGAAUUUUGCACAAUGGGGGCAACCCUGAUGCAGCGACGCCGCGUGAUUUAGAAGGCCUUCGGGUUGUAAAAAUCUUUUGUAUAGGAAGAAAAUGAUAGUACUAUACGAAUAAGGUCCGGCUAAUUACGUGCUGGCAGCCGCGGUAAUACGUAAGGACCGAGCGUUGUCCGGAAUCAUUGGGCGUAAAGGGUACGUAGGCGGUUAGAAAGGUUAGAAGUGAAAGGCUAUAGCUCAACUAUAGUAAGCUUUUAAAACUGUUUAACUUGAGAGAUGGAAGGGAAAGUGGAAUUCCUAGUGUAGCGGUGAAAUGCGCAGAUAUUAGGAGGAAUACCGGUGGCGAAGGCGACUUUCUGACCAUUAUCUGACGCUGAGGUACGAAAGCGUGGGUAG
This 736-nucleotide ribosomal RNA is filed under the name uncultured Eubacteriales bacterium. RNAcentral describes it as "bacterial SSU rRNA". It matches the Rfam family "Bacterial small subunit ribosomal RNA", at positions 31 to 768 of the family's 1533-position model. The record is from RNAcentral. Lineage: Bacteria; Bacillati; Bacillota; Clostridia; Eubacteriales.